This 512-nucleotide ribosomal RNA is filed under the name Faecalicatena fissicatena. Its description in RNAcentral is "bacterial SSU rRNA". It matches the Rfam family "Bacterial small subunit ribosomal RNA", at positions 1031 to 1533 of the family's 1533-position model. The record is from RNAcentral. Lineage: Bacteria; Bacillati; Bacillota; Clostridia; Lachnospirales; Lachnospiraceae.
GAGACAGGUGGUGCAUGGUUGUCGUCAGCUCGUGUCGUGAGAUGUUGGGUUAAGUCCCGCAACGAGCGCAACCCUUACCUUCAGUAACCAGCACGUAAUGGUGGGGACUCUGGAGGGACUGCCAGGGACAACCUGGAGGAAGGUGGGGAUGACGUCAAAUCAUCAUGCCCCUUAUGACCAGGGCUACACACGUGCUACAAUGGCGUAAACAAAGAGAGGCGAGGCUGUGAAGCGGAGCAAAUCUCAAAAAUAACGUCUCAGUUCGGAUUGUAGUCUGCAACUCGACUACAUGAAGCUGGAAUCGCUAGUAAUCGCGAAUCAGAAUGUCGCGGUGAAUACGUUCCCGGGUCUUGUACACACCGCCCGUCACACCAUGGGAGUUGGUAACGCCCGAAGUCAGUGACCCAACCUUUACGGAGGGAGCUGCCGAAGGCGGGACCGGUAACUGGGGUGAAGUCGUAACAAGGUAGCCGUAUCGGAAGGUGCGGCUGGAUCACCUCCUUUCUAAGGAA